GCCCUGUUCGUCUAGUGGCCUAGGACGCUGCCCUCUCACGGCAGUAGCAGGGGUUCGACUCCCCUACAGGGUACCA
Molecule: transfer RNA, 76 nt
Filed under: Clostridiales bacterium
Lineage: Bacteria; Bacillati; Bacillota; Clostridia; Eubacteriales
Description: tRNA-Glu
Rfam family: tRNA
About the family: Transfer RNA (tRNA) molecules are approximately 80 nucleotides in length. Their secondary structure includes four short double-helical elements and three loops (D, anti-codon, and T loops). Further hydrogen bonds mediate the characteristic L-shaped molecular structure. tRNAs have two regions of fundamental functional importance: the anti-codon, which is responsible for specific mRNA codon recognition, and the 3' end, to which the tRNAs corresponding amino acid is attached (by aminoacyl-tRNA synthetases). tRNAs cope with the degeneracy of the genetic code in two manners: having more than one tRNA (with a specific anti-codon) for a particular amino acid; and 'wobble' base-pairing, i.e. permitting non-standard base-pairing at the 3rd anti-codon position.
Source: RNAcentral